AUGCACAAGAUGCUGACGUAGCUGAUGAUGUAGCUGUGCUGACGUGCUCGAUGAUGCAACAAAUGCUGAUGUGGCAAUGAUGUUGAUGUAUUUGAUGAUGUGGCAGUAGACAUGGCUUUGCUGAUGUGGCCGAUGAUGCAACAAAUGCUAAUGUUGCAGAUGACGUGGCGGGACAUAUUGACUGAAAUUCUAGCCUUUGAUCCAUGCAUUAGAGGGCUUAUC
Molecule: long non-coding RNA, 222 nt
Filed under: Elaeis guineensis (African oil palm)
Lineage: Eukaryota; Viridiplantae; Streptophyta; Magnoliopsida; Arecales; Arecaceae
Description: long non-coding RNA (EGUI_LNC073835)
Source: RNAcentral